RNAcentral lists this ribosomal RNA (1233 nucleotides) under Galerina unicolor. RNAcentral describes it as "LSU rRNA". It matches the Rfam family "Eukaryotic large subunit ribosomal RNA", at positions 1 to 1106 of the family's 3401-position model. Lineage: Eukaryota; Fungi; Basidiomycota; Agaricomycetes; Agaricales; Galerinaceae. The record is from RNAcentral.
ACGUCGCCGCUAUCAUGUAUAAAURAUAGUGCUCUGAUCUAGUACACGCGCAGCUACCURUYURRRMAUAACMGGAAAAAAAAAAAAUGUUUGCGGUAAACUGCAUAUCAAUAAGCGGAGGGAAAAGAAACUAACAAGGAUUYCCCCUAGUAACUGCGAAGUGAAGCGGGAAAAGCUCAAAUUUAAAAUCUGGUGGUCUUUGAUCAUCCGAGUUGUAAUCUAGAGAAGUGUUAUCCGCGCUGGACCGUGUACAAGUCUCCUGGAAUGGAGCGUCAUAGAGGGUGAGAAUCCCGUCUUUGACACGGACUGCCAGGGCUUUGUGAUGCGCUCUCAAAGAGUCGAGUUGUUUGGGAAUGCAGCUCAAAAUGGGUGGUAAAUUCCAUCUAAAGCUAAAUAUUGGCGAGAGACCGAUAGCGAACAAGUACCGUGAGGGAAAGAUGAAAAGAACUUUGGAAAGAGAGUUAAACAGUACGUGAAAUUGCUGAAAGGGAAACGCUUGAAGUCAGUCGCGUUGGCCGGGGAUCAACCUUGCUUUUGCUGGGCGUACUUUCCGGUUGACGGGUCAGCAUCAAUUUUGACCGUUGGAUAAAGUUCAGGGGAAUGUGGCAUCUUCGGAUGUGUUAUAGCCUCUGUUCGCAUACAACGGUUGGGAUUGAGGAACUCAGCACGCCGCAAGGCCGGGUAUUUAUACUACGUUCGUGCUUAGGAUGCUGGCAUAAUGGCUUUAAUCGACCCGUCUUGAAACACGGACCAAGGAGUCUAACAUGCCUGCGAGUGUUUGGGUGGAAAACCCGAGCGCGUAAUGAAAGUGAAAGUUGAGAUCCCUGUCGUGGGGAGCAUCGACGCCCGGACCAGACCUUUUGUGACGGAUCCGCGGUAGAGCAUGUAUGUUGGGACCCGAAAGAUGGUGAACUAUGCCUGAAUAGGGUGAAGCCAGAGGAAACUCUGGUGGAGGCUCGUAGCGAUUCUGACGUGCAAAUCGAUCGUCAAAUUUGGGUAUAGGGGCGAAAGACUAAUCGAMCYMUMUAGUAGCUGGGUCUGCGGCCCUCUCCCCUGAGAGAAGACUUCUGUUGAGUUAUGGUCUCCCCACAUACACACUUUAGAACGUUUGGCAGAAUAAUAUCGUGCGCUACCCACGAAUAUUGUCUAGGUUAGCGUUAUCAGAGACAUAAGUUCUAGUCUGGUAGUUCACAGACAUGCCUACGGUAAUCCUCCAUAUAAGGCUGUUGCCCG